This 492-nucleotide ribosomal RNA is filed under the name uncultured bacterium. RNAcentral's name for it is "partial 16S ribosomal RNA". It matches the Rfam family "Bacterial small subunit ribosomal RNA", at positions 29 to 507 of the family's 1533-position model. The record is from RNAcentral.
AGUGAACGCUGGCGGUAGGCCUAACACAUGCAAGUCGAACGGCAGCACAGUAAGAGCUUGCUCUUACGGGUGGCGAGUGGCGGACGGGUGAGGAAUACAUCGGAAUCUACUUUUUCGUGGGGGAUAACGUAGGGAAACUUACGCUAAUACCGCAUACGACCUACGGGUGAAAUCAGGGGAUCUUCGGACCUUGCGCGAUUGAAUGAGCCGAUGUCGGAUUAGCUAGUUGGCGGGGUAAAGGCCCACCAAGGCGACGAUCCGUAGCUGGUCUGAGAGGAUGAUCAGCCACACUGGAACUGAGACACGGUCCAGACUCCUACGGGAGGCAGCAGUGGGGAAUAUUGGACAAUGGGCGCAAGCCUGAUCCAGCCAUACCGCGUGGGUGAAGAAGGCCUUCGGGUUGUAAAGCCCUUUUGUUGGGAAAGAAAAGCAGCAGGUUAAUCCACCGCUGUUCUGACGGUACCCAAAGAAUAAGCAACGGCUAACUUCGUG